This 449-nucleotide ribosomal RNA is filed under the name uncultured bacterium. RNAcentral describes it as "partial 16S ribosomal RNA". It matches the Rfam family "Bacterial small subunit ribosomal RNA", at positions 29 to 523 of the family's 1533-position model. The record is from RNAcentral.
AACGAACGCUGGCGGCAUGCCUAACACAUGCAAGUCGAACGAGAUCUUCGGGUCUAGUGGCGCACGGGUGCGUAACGCGUGGGAAUCUGCCCUUUGGUUCGGAAUAACAGUUGGAAACGACUGCUAAUACCGGAUGAUGACGAAAGUCCAAAGAUUUAUCGCCAGAGGAUGAGCCCGCGUAGGAUUAGCUAGUUGGUGUGGUGAAGGCGCACCAAGGCGACGAUCCUUAGCUGGUCUGAGAGGAUGAUCAGCCACACUGGGACUGAGACACGGCCCAGACUCCUGCGGGAGGCAGCAGUGGGGAAUAUUGGACAAUGGGCGAAAGCCUGAUCCAGCAAUGCCGCGUGAGUGAUGAAGGCCUUAGGGUUGUAAAGCUCUUUUACCCGGGAUGACAAUGACAGUACCGGGAGAAUAAGCUCCGGCUAACUCCGUGCCAGCCGCCGCAGUAA